Molecule: ribosomal RNA, 250 nt
Filed under: uncultured bacterium
Lineage: Bacteria
Description: partial 16S ribosomal RNA
Rfam family: Bacterial small subunit ribosomal RNA
Source: RNAcentral
UACGAAGGGGGCUAGCGUUGUUCGGAUUUACUGGGCGUAAAGGGCGCGUAGGCGGUUUGACAAGUCAGGCGUGAAAGUCCCGGGCUUAACCUGGGGACUGCGUUUGAUACUGUCAGGCUUGAAUGUGAGAGAGGAUGGCGGAAUUCCCAGUGUAGAGGUGAAAUUCGUAGAUAUUGGGAAGAACACCGGUGGCGAAGGCGGCCAUCUGGCUCAUGAUUGACGCUGAGGCGCGAAAGCGUGGGGAGCAAAC